UCCCUGGUGGUUCAGUGGUUAAGAUUCUGCACUUUUACUGCAGGGGCCCCAGGUUCCAUCCCUGGUCGGGGAA
This is a non-coding RNA of Mesoplodon densirostris (Blainville's beaked whale), 73 nucleotides long. The record is from the annotation of a RefSeq genome assembly. Lineage: Eukaryota; Metazoa; Chordata; Mammalia; Artiodactyla; Ziphiidae.